UUGGUAGUUGGCUCCCAGGCGUCGACGGGUAGCCGGCCUGAGAGGGUGACCGGUCACACUGGGACUGAGACACGGCCCAGACUCCUACGGGAGGCAGCAGUGGGGAAUAUUGGACAAUGGGCGGAAGCCUGACCCAGCAACGCCGCGUGAGGGAUGACGGCCUUCGGGUUGUAAACCUCUUU
RNAcentral lists this ribosomal RNA (182 nucleotides) under uncultured Nocardioides sp. RNAcentral describes it as "partial 16S ribosomal RNA". It matches the Rfam family "Bacterial small subunit ribosomal RNA", at positions 255 to 436 of the family's 1533-position model. Lineage: Bacteria; Bacillati; Actinomycetota; Actinomycetes; Propionibacteriales; Nocardioidaceae. The record is from RNAcentral.